CUCUGUCUCCUUCCUGCCCUGAAAAUCCCAGCAGCUGGAUAUUUAGAGGAGGGAGGUUCCAGAGGUACUCCUCUGUGGAUGCCAGCCUGGUCAGGGAGAGAGAAACAGCAAUAGUUUCUCACAGUGGCUUGUAAGAAUUUUAGGGUGUUGUAGGAAUGUGAUAACUUGUUAGCAUAAACAAUCUGCAGGUGGUGUUUUUCCACUUUGUUUUCUGGUUCUUCUCAAGGACGGUGUGUGAGAAAGAUGUUUUUUAUUAACUAGCCAAUCAAGUAGAAUGUAUCAUAUCGCUCUCUAUAAACCAGAGAACCCUUUGUAAUAAAGCUUCCUUUUCUCCUCUUGCAACUGGGUCUCUCUUGGGUCUCUAUUCUUGUGUCAUUCUUGGCUCAAGGGUGACCCUCCUCUACAUUCCUAUCUAGGUUACCAUAGUGCUGAAGAAACUCCCCUGUGUGACCAUUCCAGAGACAAGGGUUGCUCCAGCGAGCUGCCAGGUGCCCUGUUUCAUUCCCCACCCAUACCACUCUCACCCAGUCAGAGCAGGUUUCUGUACCCAUUCCAUCCUGAGGUUCCAUCAGCAGAGUUGCAGAUGUCUCAUUCCAUAAAGAGCCACCAGCUCCUUCUGCAGCUCUCAGUGUUGUCCUGGUUUAAAAGAGGUGUCUGCCAAGGAAGGCGGGAACCUCCUUCGGAAUGGAAAAUGUGACCUCCUUCCCUCUAAAUUAUAACUUUGAAAUUACCGGGUUUUCAGGCAAAGAUAUGAGAACAGGAAUAACAGUUCAUUACUAGUAUGUAGAGGAGUACCUCUAAAAAGCAAACAAAGAACAACAAUGGCAGUACAACAAACAGAACAGAAACAGAAACCCAGUCCCAGCUGCCUCUCAACCCCAGGAAGAAGUCAGUCUCAGUGCCACUCGGAAAGCUGAAUGGACUGCAGCAGGAACUUUGUAGUAGCAGACUGGAACAGCAGAGGCAGGCCCAUCCCGGAGUGACAAACAAAGUGUAGCAAAGAUUCCAGAGCCGUGCUAGAAGCCGCAGAAUGUUUGGGCAGGCAUGGAGUGUCAGGUCAAUGUGUAAUAAAAAAGCCUAAAUCAUUGUCAUAAAA
Passer domesticus (house sparrow) is the source of this 1096-nucleotide long non-coding RNA. RefSeq lists it as uncharacterized. NCBI's taxonomy places the organism in Eukaryota, Metazoa, Chordata, Aves, Passeriformes, Passeridae. The record is from RefSeq and is a predicted model, not a curated record. The transcript has 2 exons.